CCUACGGGAGGCAGCAGUGGGGAAUUUUGGACAAUGGGCGAAAGCCUGAUCCAGCCAUGCCGCGUGCAGGAUGAAGGCCUUCGGGUUGUAAACUGCUUUUGUACGGAACGAAAAGUCUCUUUCUAAUAAAGAGGGAUCAUGACGGUACCGUAAGAAUAAGCACCGGCUAACUACGUGCCAGCAGCCGCGGUAAUACGUAGGGUGCAAGCGUUAAUCGGAAUUACUGGGCGUAAAGCGUGCGCAGGCGGUUAUAUAAGACAGUUGUGAAAUCCCCGGACUCAACCUGGGAACUGCAUCUGUGACUGUAUAGCUAGAGUACGGUAGAGGGGGAUGGAAUUCCGCGUGUAGCAGUGAAAUGCGUAGAUAUGCGGAGGAACACCGAUGGCGAAGGCAAUCCCCUGGACCUGUACUGACGCUCAUGCACGAAAGCGUGGGGAGCAAACAGGAUUAGAUACCCUGGUAGUCCACGCCCUAAACGAUGUCAACUGGUUGUUGGGAAUUCACUUUCUCAGUAACGAAGCUAACGCAUGAAGUUGACCGCCUGGGGAGUACGGCCGCAAGGUUGAAACUUAAAGGAAAUUGACGG
RNAcentral lists this ribosomal RNA (586 nucleotides) under uncultured bacterium. RNAcentral describes it as "bacterial SSU rRNA". It matches the Rfam family "Bacterial small subunit ribosomal RNA", at positions 338 to 916 of the family's 1533-position model. The record is from RNAcentral.